Molecule: small RNA, 68 nt
Organism: Streptomyces bingchenggensis BCW-1
Lineage: Bacteria; Bacillati; Actinomycetota; Actinomycetes; Kitasatosporales; Streptomycetaceae
Rfam family: ASdes TB sRNA
Source: Rfam
AGCUCGACCGGGUCGACGGCGCGGCUGGUGAGCAGGUAGUCACGCAUGACGAUGCCGUGCCGGCCCUC